AAUCAACGCUGGCGGCGUGCCUAACACAUGCAAGUCGAACGCGAAAGCCCCUUCGGGGGUAAGUAGAGUGGCGUCCGGGUGAGUAACACGUAGGUAAUCUACCUUCGGGUGGGGAAUAACCAGUCGAAAGAUUGGCUAAUACCGCAUAAUGCAGCGGCACCUAAUGGUGAUUAGUUGUUAAAGCGGGGGAUCGUAAGACCUCGCGCCUGAAGAGGAGCCUGCGGCAGAUUAGCUAGUUGGNGAGGUAAUGGCUCACCAAGGCUUCGAUCUGUAGCUGGUCUGAGAGGACGGCCAGCCACACUGGCACUGACACACGGGCCAGACUCCUACGGGAGGCAGCAGUGGGGAAUUUUGGGCAAUGGGCGAAAGCCUGACCCAGCAACGCCGCGUGAGGGAGGAAAUCCUUCGGGAUGUAAACCUCACAAGCAAGGGAAGAGAGCUCAGGGCCGAAUAAGCUUUGAGUCCGACGGUACCUUGCGUAAGCCACGGCUAACUACGUGCCAGCA
This 506-nucleotide ribosomal RNA is filed under the name uncultured bacterium. RNAcentral's name for it is "bacterial SSU rRNA". It matches the Rfam family "Bacterial small subunit ribosomal RNA", at positions 32 to 513 of the family's 1533-position model. The record is from RNAcentral.